This 587-nucleotide ribosomal RNA is filed under the name uncultured bacterium. Its description in RNAcentral is "bacterial SSU rRNA". It matches the Rfam family "Bacterial small subunit ribosomal RNA", at positions 272 to 873 of the family's 1533-position model. The record is from RNAcentral.
GGCGAUGACGGGUAGCUGGUCUGAGAGGAUGGCCAGCCACACGGGCACUGAGACACGGGCCCGACUCCUACGGGAGGCAGCAGCAGGGAAUCUUCCGCAAUGGGGGCAACCCUGACGGAGCGACGCCGCGUGCGGGAGGAAGCCCUUCGGGGUGUAAACCGCUGUUCGGGGGGACGAUGGAGGGACGGUACCCCCGGAGCAAGUCCCGGCUAACUACGUGCCAGCAGCCGCGGUAAGACGUAGGGGGCGAGCGUUACCCGGAGUCACUGGGCGUAAAGGGCGUGUAGGCGGCUUGGCGCGCCGCGCGUGAAAGUCCCCGGCUCAACCGGGGAGGGUCGCGUGGGACGGCCGAGCUUGAGGGCGGGAGAGGCGGGUGGAAUUCCCGGUGUAGCGGUGAAAUGCGUAGAGAUCGGGAGGAACGCCGGUGGCGAAGGCGGCCCGCUGGCCCGUUCCUGACGCUGAGGCGCGAAAGCGUGGGGAGCAAACCGGAUUAGAUACCCGGGUAGUCCACGCACUAAACGAUGCGGGCGAGGUGUGGGUGGUGUUGACCCCAUCCGUGCCGGCGCCAACGCAGUAAGCCCGCCGCU